AGGCCUACGGGACGCAGCAGUGGGGAAUAUUGGGCAAUGGGCGCAAGCCUGACCCAGCAACGCCGCGUGAAGGAAGAAGGCUUUCGGGUUGUAAACUUCUUUUGUCAGGGACGAAGCAAGUGACGGUACCUGACGAAUAAGCCACAGCUAACUACGUGACAGCAGCCGCGGUAAUACGUAGGUAGCAAGCGUUAUCCGGCUUUAUUGGGUGUAAAGGGCGUGUAGGCGGGAAUGCAAGUCAGAU
This 244-nucleotide ribosomal RNA is filed under the name uncultured bacterium. Its description in RNAcentral is "partial 16S ribosomal RNA". It matches the Rfam family "Bacterial small subunit ribosomal RNA", at positions 335 to 593 of the family's 1533-position model. The record is from RNAcentral.